Molecule: ribosomal RNA, 490 nt
Filed under: uncultured bacterium
Lineage: Bacteria
Description: partial 16S ribosomal RNA
Rfam family: Bacterial small subunit ribosomal RNA
Source: RNAcentral
AUUGAACGCUGGCGGCAGGCCUAACACAUGCAAGUCGAACGGUAACAGGGAUCAGCUUGCUGAUUCGCUGACGAGUGGCGGACGGGUGAGUAAUGUCUGGGAAACUGCCUGAUGGAGGGGGAUAACUACUGGAAACGGUAGCUAAUACCGCAUAACGUCGCAAGACCAUAGAGGGGGACCUUCGGGCCUCUUGCCAUCGGAUGUGCCCAGAUGGGAUUAGCUAGUAGGUGGGGUAACGGCUCACCUAGGCGACGAUCCCUAGCUGGUCUGAGAGGAUGACCAGCCACACUGGAACUGAGACACGGUCCAGACUCCUACGGGAGGCAGCAGUGGGGAAUAUUGCACAAUGGGCGCAAGCCUGAUGCAGCCAUGCCGCGUGUAUGAAGAAGGCCUUCGGGUUGUAAAGUACUUUCAGCGGGGAGGAAGGGAGUAAAGUUAAUACCUUUGCUCAUUGACGUUACCCGCAGAAGAAGCACCGGCUAACUCCGUG